UAUCCGUAGGUGAACCUGCGGAAGGAUCAUUAUUGUAUAACCGAGGUGCAAGGGCUGUCGCUGACCCGAAAGGUCGUGCACGCCCGAGUGCCCUCACACACAUCCAUCUCACCCCUAUGUGCACCACCGCGUGGGUCCCCCUUUGGCUUGUUCGGAGGGGGGCUUACGUUUUCACACAAACUUUGUAUGCAGUGUAGAAUGUAUUUUUUGUUUUUGCGAUCACGCAAUCAAUACAACUUUCAACAACGGAUCUCUUGGCUCUC
This 263-nucleotide unclassified non-coding RNA is filed under the name plant metagenome. RNAcentral describes it as "partial contains small subunit ribosomal RNA, internal transcribed spacer 1, and 5.8S ribosomal RNA". The record is from RNAcentral.